UACAGAGGUCCCAAGCGUUGUUCGGAUUCAUUGGGCGUAAAGGGUGCGUAGGUGGCGCCGUAAGUGGGGUGUGAAAUUUCGGAGCUUAACUCCGAAACUGCAUUCCAUACUGCGGUGCUUGAGGACUGGAGAGGAGACUGGAAUUCAUGGUGUAGCAGUGAAAUGCGUAGAGAUCAUGAGGAAGACCAGUGGCGAAGGCGGGUCUCUGGACAGUUCCUGACACUGGGGCACGAAGGCUAGGGGAGCGAACGGG
This 253-nucleotide ribosomal RNA is filed under the name uncultured bacterium. RNAcentral describes it as "partial 16S ribosomal RNA". It matches the Rfam family "Bacterial small subunit ribosomal RNA", at positions 524 to 776 of the family's 1533-position model. The record is from RNAcentral.